UACGUAGGGGGCUAGCGUUGUCCGGAUUUACUGGGCGUAAAGAGCGCGCAGGCGGUCGUUCAAGUCGAGUGUGAAAGCCCCCGGCUCAACUGGGGAGGGUCACUCGAUACUGGUCGACUCGAAGGCAGGAGAGGGAAGCGGAAUUCCCGGUGUAGUGGUGAAAUGCGUAGAUAUCGGGAGGAACACCAGUGGCGAAGGCGGCUUUCUGGCCUGUUCUUGACGCUGAGGCGCGAAAGCUAGGGUAGCAACCGGG
RNAcentral lists this ribosomal RNA (253 nucleotides) under uncultured bacterium. RNAcentral describes it as "partial 16S ribosomal RNA". It matches the Rfam family "Bacterial small subunit ribosomal RNA", at positions 524 to 776 of the family's 1533-position model. The record is from RNAcentral.